RNAcentral lists this unclassified non-coding RNA (331 nucleotides) under soil metagenome. RNAcentral's name for it is "partial contains 5.8S ribosomal RNA, internal transcribed spacer 2, and large subunit ribosomal RNA". The stretch from base 1 to 120 matches the Rfam family "5.8S ribosomal RNA", at positions 35 to 154 of the family's 154-position model. The record is from RNAcentral.
GAUGAAGAACGCAGCGAAAUGCGAUACGUAAUGUGAAUUGCAGAUUUCAGUGAAUCAUCGAAUCUUUGAACGCACAUUGCGCCCGCCAGUAUUCUGGCGGGCAUGCCUGUUCGAGCGUCAUUUCAACCAUCAAGCGCCUCGCUUGUGUUGGGGCCCUGCGGCUGCCGCAGGCCCCUAAAUCCAGUGGCGGGCUCGUCGUCGUACCGAGUGCAGUAAACAUCCUCGCUCAGGGAACCCGACGGGUGCCGGCCGUGAAACCCCCCCUCCUCAAGGUUGACCUCGGAUCAGGAAGGAAUACCCGCUGAACUUAAGCAUAUCAAUAAGCGGAGGA